Molecule: ribosomal RNA, 339 nt
Filed under: Triticum aestivum (bread wheat)
Lineage: Eukaryota; Viridiplantae; Streptophyta; Magnoliopsida; Poales; Poaceae
Description: partial small subunit ribosomal RNA
Source: RNAcentral
AUGGUGAACGUGACGUACGAUGCGGGGGCCAUCCGCGUGCUGUCGAGGUGGGCCGACGCCAAGAUCCUCGGCACCGUGUACGGGGUCGCGCCCAUGGCGGUGUACGAGAUCGACAGGGUGCUGCUCCCGGAGGCGAUCUUCAGCGCGCGGCCCCCCGUCGAGGAGACCCCGCCCGACGCAGAGCCCGCGGCGAGCGCGCCCGGCGCCAAGGGUGGCAACGCGACGACGCCUGGACGUGAGGCGGAUGGGAAGAGCUCUGCGUGCAGGGCAGCGGGUCGGCCCGCGAACUACGUGGCCCCCGCCGUGGCGUUGUGCGCCGCGUCGCUGGUGGCAUUGUGA